UGGGGAAUAUUGGACAAUGGGCGAAAGCCUGAUCCAGCAAUUCCGCGUGUGUGAAGAAGGCCUUCGGGUUGUAAAGCACUUUAGUGGGGGAAGAAACAGCUUGGCCACACCAAGCCUUGACGGUACCCCAAGAAUAAGCACCGGCUAACUCUGUGCCAGCAGCCGCGGUAAUACAGAGGGUGCAAGCGUUAAUCGGAUUUACUGGGCGUAAAGGGUGCGUAGGUGGUUUUUUAAGUCGGAUGUGAAAGCCUGGGGCUCAACCUCAGAAUUGCAUUCGAUACUGGGAAACUAGAGUUCGGUAGAGGGCGGCGGAAUUUCCGGUGUAGCGGUGAAAUGCGUAGACAUCGGAAGGAACAUCAAUGGCGAAGGCAGCCGCCUGGGCCUGGACUGACACUGAGGCACGAAAGCGUGGGUAGCAAACA
RNAcentral lists this ribosomal RNA (422 nucleotides) under uncultured bacterium. Its description in RNAcentral is "partial 16S ribosomal RNA". It matches the Rfam family "Bacterial small subunit ribosomal RNA", at positions 355 to 774 of the family's 1533-position model. The record is from RNAcentral.